RNAcentral lists this ribosomal RNA (449 nucleotides) under uncultured bacterium. Its description in RNAcentral is "partial 16S ribosomal RNA". It matches the Rfam family "Bacterial small subunit ribosomal RNA", at positions 29 to 523 of the family's 1533-position model. The record is from RNAcentral.
AGCGAACGCUGGCGGCAGGCCUAACACAUGCAAGUCGAACGGACCCUUCGGGGUUAGUGGCGGACGGGUGAGUAACACGUGGGAACGUGCCUUUAGGUUCGGAAUAGCUCCUGGAAACGGGUGGUAAUGCCGAAUGUGCCCUUCGGGGGAAAGAUUUAUCGCCUUUAGAGCGGCCCGCGUCUGAUUAGCUAGUUGGUGAGGUAAUGGCUCACCAAGGGGACGAUCAGUAGCUGGUCUGAGAGGAUGACCAGCCACAUUGGGACUGAGACACGGGCCAAACUCCUACGGGAGGCAGCAGUGGGGAAUCUUGCGCAAUGGGCGAAAGCCUGACGCAGCCAUGCCGCGUGGAUGAUGAAGGUCUUAGGAUUGUAAAAUCCUUUCACCGGUGAAGAUAAUGACUGUAGCCGGAGAAGAAGCCCCGGCUAACUUCGUGCCAGCCGCCGCAGUAA